UACGGGGGGGGCAAGCGUUGUUCGGAAUUACUGGGCGUAAAGGGCUCGUAGGCGGCCAACUAAGUCGGAUGUGAAAUCCCCAGGCUUAACCUGGGAACUGCAUCUGAUACUGGAUGGCUUGAGUUCGGGAGAGGGAUGCGGAAUUCCAGGUGUAGCGGUGAAAUGCGUAGAUAUCUGGAGGAACACCGGUGGCGAAGGCGGCAUCCUGGACCGAUACUGACGCUGAGGAGCGAAAGCCAGGGGAGCAAACGGG
RNAcentral lists this ribosomal RNA (253 nucleotides) under uncultured bacterium. Its description in RNAcentral is "partial 16S ribosomal RNA". It matches the Rfam family "Bacterial small subunit ribosomal RNA", at positions 524 to 776 of the family's 1533-position model. The record is from RNAcentral.